AAUAGAUACCCAGGUAGUCCACGCCGUAAACGUUGGGCGCUAGAUGUGGGGGCCAUUCCACGGUUUCCGCGUCGUAGCUAACGCAUUAAGCGCCCCGCCUGGGGAGUACGGCCGCAAGGCUAAAACUCAAAGGGAAUUGACGGGGGCCCGCACAAGCGGCGGAGCAUGCGGAUUAAUUCGAUGCAACGCGAAGAACCUUACCAAGGCUUGACAUAUACGAGAACACUGCAGAAAUGUAGGACUCUUUGGACACUCGUAUACAGGUGGUGCAUGGUUGUCGUCAGCUCGUGUCGUGAGAUGUUGGGUUAAGUCCCGCAACGAGCGCAACCCUCGUCGCAUGUUGCCAGCACGUAAAGGUGGGAACUCAUGUGAGACUGCCGGGGUCAACUCGGAGGAAGGUGGGGAUGACGUCAAAUCAUCAUGCCCCUUAUGUCUUGGGCUUCACGCAUGCUACAAUGGCCGGUACAAAGGGCUGCAAUACCGUAAGGUGGAGCGAAUCCCAAAAAGCCGGUCUCAGUUCGGA
RNAcentral lists this ribosomal RNA (523 nucleotides) under uncultured bacterium. RNAcentral's name for it is "bacterial SSU rRNA". It matches the Rfam family "Bacterial small subunit ribosomal RNA", at positions 777 to 1297 of the family's 1533-position model. The record is from RNAcentral.